This 439-nucleotide ribosomal RNA is filed under the name uncultured bacterium. RNAcentral's name for it is "partial 16S ribosomal RNA". It matches the Rfam family "Bacterial small subunit ribosomal RNA", at positions 338 to 795 of the family's 1533-position model. The record is from RNAcentral.
CCUACGGGUGGCAGCAGUGGGGGAUAUUGCACAAUGGGGGGAACCCUGAUGCAGCGACGCCGCGUGGGUGAAGAAGCGCCUCGGCGCGUAAAGCCCUGUCAGCAGGGAAGAAAAUGACGGUACCUGAAGAAGAAGCCCCGGCUAACUACGUGCCAGCAGCCGCGGUAAUACGGGGGGUGCGAGCGUUAUCCGGAUUUAUGGGGUGUAAAGGGUGCGGAGGCGGGUUAGCAAGUCAGCGGUAAAACCGGGGAGCGAAACUCCGUCCAGCCGUUGAAACUGAUGAUCUUGAGUGGGCGAGAAGUAGGCGGAAUUCGUGGUGUAGCGGUGAAAUGCAUAGAUAUCACGCAGAACUCCGAUGGCGAAGGCAGCAUACUGGCGCCCGACUGACGCUGAAGCACGAAAGCGUGGGUAGCGAACAGGAUUAGAUACCCCUGUAGUC